AUUGAACGCUGGCGGCAUGCCUAAUACAUGCAAGUCGAGCGGAUGAAGGCUGCUUGCUCCUGGCUUCCGCUUCGGACGGGUGAGUAAGGCCUAGGAAUCUGCCCGGUAGUGACGUAUAACGUACGGAAACGGGCCCUAAUACCGCAUACGCUCAUAGGGAGAAACAGUGUGUUCCUCGGAGCUCACGCUUUCAGAUGACCCUCGGUUGUAUUAGCUAGUUGGUGGGGUAAAGGCCUACCAAGGCGACGAUCCGUAACUGGUCUGAGAGGGUGAUCAGUCACACUGGAACUGAGACACGGUCCAGACUCCUACGGGAGGCAGCAGUGGGGAAUAUUGGGCAAUGGGCGAAAGCCUGAUCCAGCAAUGCCGCGUGUGUGAAGAAGGUCUUCGGAUUGUAAAGCACUGUUAGUAGGGAAGAACGGCAGUGAGAGAAAACGAUGCUGUUUUGACGGUACCUACAGAAAAAGCACCGGCUAACUACGUG
RNAcentral lists this ribosomal RNA (484 nucleotides) under uncultured bacterium. RNAcentral's name for it is "partial 16S ribosomal RNA". It matches the Rfam family "Bacterial small subunit ribosomal RNA", at positions 30 to 507 of the family's 1533-position model. The record is from RNAcentral.